RNAcentral lists this ribosomal RNA (253 nucleotides) under uncultured bacterium. RNAcentral's name for it is "partial 16S ribosomal RNA". It matches the Rfam family "Bacterial small subunit ribosomal RNA", at positions 524 to 776 of the family's 1533-position model. The record is from RNAcentral.
UACGGAGGGUGCAAACGUUGCUCGGAAUCAUUGGGCGUAAAGCGCGCGUAGGCGGUCCAGCAAGCGGGGAGUGAAAGCCCUCGGCUUAACCAAGGAAGUGCUUUCCGAACUACUGGACUUGAAUACUGAAGAGGAUCGCGGAAUUCCCGGUGUAGAGGUGAAAUUCGUAGAUAUCGGGAGGAACACCAGUGGCGAAGGCGGCGAUCUGGGCAGAUAUUGACGCUGAGGUGCGAAAGCGUGGGGAGCAAACAGG